UACGGAGGGUGCAAGCGUUGUCCGGAAUCACUGGGCGUAAAGGGUGCGUAGGCGGGUUUUUAAGUCAGGGGUGAAAUCCUGGAGCUCAACUCCAGAACUGCCUUUGAUACUGAAGAUCUUGAGUCCGGGAGAGGUGAGUGGAACUGCGAGUGUAGAGGUGAAAUUCGUAGAUAUUCGCAAGAACACCAGUGGCGAAGGCGGCUCACUGGCCCGAUACUGACGCUGAGGUGCGAAAGCGUGGGGAGCAAACAGG
RNAcentral lists this ribosomal RNA (253 nucleotides) under uncultured bacterium. Its description in RNAcentral is "partial 16S ribosomal RNA". It matches the Rfam family "Bacterial small subunit ribosomal RNA", at positions 524 to 776 of the family's 1533-position model. The record is from RNAcentral.